AGAGUUUGAUCCUGGCUCAGAGUGAACGCUGGCGGCAGGCCCAACACAUGCAAGUCGAGCGGCAGCGCGGGGGCAACCCUGGCGGCGAGCGGCGGACGGGUGAGGAAUACAUCGGAAUCUACCCAGUCGUGGGGGAUAACGUAGGGAAACUUACGCUAAUACCGCAUACGACAUGAGGGUGAAAGCAGGGGACCGCAAGGCCUUGCGCGAUUGGAUGAGCCGAUGUCCGAUUAGCUAGUUGGUGAGGUAAAGGCUCACCAAGGCGACGAUCGGUAGCUGGUCUGAGAGGAUGAUCAGCCACACUGGAACUGAGACACGGUCCAGACUCCUACGGGAGGCAGCAGUGGGGAAUAUUGGACAAUGGGCGCAAGCCUGAUCCAGCCAUGCCGCGUGUGUGAAGAAGGCCUUCGGGUUGUAAAGCACUUUUGUUCGGGAAGAAAUCUUCCGACCUAAUACGUCGGGAGGAUGACGGUACCGAAAGAAUAAGCACCGGCUAACUUCGUGCCAGCAGCCGCGGUAAUACGAAGGGUGCAAGCGUUACUCGGAAUUACUGGGCGUAAAGCGUGCGUAGGUGGUUCGUUAAGUCUGCCGUGAAAGCCCCGGGCUCAACCUGGGAAUGGCGGUAGAUACUGGCGGACUAGAGUGCGGUAGAGGGUGGUGGAAUUCCCGGUGUAGCAGUGAAAUGCGUAGAGAUCGGGAG
RNAcentral lists this ribosomal RNA (700 nucleotides) under uncultured bacterium. RNAcentral describes it as "bacterial SSU rRNA". It matches the Rfam family "Bacterial small subunit ribosomal RNA", at positions 8 to 703 of the family's 1533-position model. The record is from RNAcentral.